RNAcentral lists this ribosomal RNA (485 nucleotides) under uncultured bacterium. Its description in RNAcentral is "bacterial SSU rRNA". It matches the Rfam family "Bacterial small subunit ribosomal RNA", at positions 28 to 507 of the family's 1533-position model. The record is from RNAcentral.
GAUGAACGCUGGCGGCGUGCUUAACACAUGCAAGUCGAACGAAGCAUUUAAGACAGAUUACUUCGGUUUGAAGUCUUUUAUGACUGAGUGGCGGACGGGUGAGUAACACGUGAGCAACCUGCCUAUCAGAGGGGGAUAACGAUUGGAAACGAUCGCUAAUACCGCAUGACAUAGCGGAAUCGCAUGGUUCUGUUAUCAAAGAUUUUAUCGCUGAUAGAUGGGCUCGCGUCCGAUUAGAUAGUUGGUGGGGUAACGGCCCACCAAGGCGACGAUCAGUAGCCGGUCUGAGAGGAUGAACGGCCACAUUGGGACUGAGAUACGGCCCAGACUCCUACGGGAGGCAGCAGUGGGGAAUAUUGGGCAAUGGGGGAAACCCUGACCCAGCAACGCCGCGUGAAGGAAGAAGGCCUUCGGGUUGUAAACUUCUUUUACCAGGGACGAAAAAAGUGACGGUACCUGGAGAAAAAGCAACGGCUAACUACGUG